CCUACGGGCGGCAGCAGUGAGGAAUAUUGGUCAAUGGACGAGAGUCUGAACCAGCCAAGUAGCGUGAAGGAUGACUGCCCUAUGGGUUGUAAACUUCUUUUAUAUGGGAAUAAAACGUUCCACGUGUGGGAUUUUGUAUGUACCAUAUGAAUAAGGAUCGGCUAACUCCGUGCCAGCAGCCGCGGUAAUACGGAGGAUCCGAGCGUUAUCCGGAUUUAUUGGGUUUAAAGGGAGCGUAGGUGGAUUGUUAAGUCAAUUGUGAAAGUUUGCGGCUCAACCGUAAAAUUGCAGUUGAAACUGGCAGUCUUGAGUACAGUAGAGGUGGGCGGAAUUCGUGGUGUAGCGGUGAAAUACUUAGAUAUCACGAAGAACUCCGAUUGCGAAGGCAGUUCACUGGACUGCAACUGACACUGAGGCUCGAAAGUGUGGGUAUCAAACAGGAUUAGAUACCCGAGUAGUC
This 460-nucleotide ribosomal RNA is filed under the name uncultured bacterium. Its description in RNAcentral is "partial 16S ribosomal RNA". It matches the Rfam family "Bacterial small subunit ribosomal RNA", at positions 338 to 795 of the family's 1533-position model. The record is from RNAcentral.